UACAGAGGUCCCAAGCGUUGUUCGGAUUCACUGGGCGUAAAGGGUGCGUAGGCGGUCGGGUAAGUCUGACGUGAAAUCUUCAAGCUCAACUUGGAAACUGCGUCGGAUACUAUUCGGCUAGAGUCCGGAAGAGGAGAGUGGAAUUCCUGGUGUAGCGGUGAAAUGCGCAGAUAUCAGGAAGAACACCUAUGGCGAAAGCAGCUCUCUGGGACAGUACUGACGCUGAGACGCGAAAGCGUGGGGAGCGAACAGG
Molecule: ribosomal RNA, 253 nt
Filed under: uncultured bacterium
Lineage: Bacteria
Description: partial 16S ribosomal RNA
Rfam family: Bacterial small subunit ribosomal RNA
Source: RNAcentral